GUGGAUACUAGCCUUGAUGCACCCACUAACUAGAUGUGUGACAAGCCACUUUACGUCUUCAGGACUGGCUUUUAUUUUCUUUAAGAGAAUUGAACCAAAUAUAGAUAUGGUACUUGAACAUUCUACAAUUUCCAGUGUGAAUAUACUUAGUUAAGACAAAGCUAUUUGCACUCACUACUAUGUACUGUAGACAAGAUGGUGUGAUAUGUGCCAACAUAUAGUAUGUCUAGGAGUUCAAGGAAGUCUAAUUUGGGAAAAGUUUGUUCUGUCCUAAAAGAAACUGAGACCUAAAUUUAUCUAAGUGUCAUCCUGUGAUCAGCAAUGCAUUCAGCGGCACUUGCAUAACCAUUGCCUCCGGCAGGACUGCACCAAAAUAGCAGAAGGAAAAGAAGGAAGAGGCAAUGUCACACUUCUGCUAAGAAGAGAGUUAUGGCAAGUACAAGUUGCUGAGAAAGAAGCAAACUGCUCAUUUGGAUGAAGGAAAUUAAUUCUUUGAAGCCAUCAAAGAUUCCUGCAGCUUUGAGAAUAGUUUGGUAAGUGGAUCUCAAUCCCCAGAAAACUCUUUGGUAAAAGAACAAGUGCCCAUCUUUUAGAUCAUGUGCUUAGCUUCAGGGCAGAUAUGUCCUGAAGGUCUUGUGUAAACAAAACACAAGUGAAAUAAUAUUCAAUUCAAAAUGAGACAAUAGUUACAGUGAAAUAGAGAAAUACAAAGUUGGUUUUUUUACUUAUUAUUAUUUACUGACAUCAAGUUGGUUUCAUUAAUAUUUACUUAAUAUCUAUCAGAAACAAAUAUUAUUUUAAGUAAACAGUUUCUCUUAAGUUUUAGGCAAAUUGCUCUAUGAUUUCACUAACUGAAUACCAUCCAUCUUUAAGAUGCUAAAACUAUGUUACUUCUAUCCAUACAACUUUCAGUAUUAAAUAUCCUUUAUUGAAAAUAAUAAGCAAAAAUCUUUAAUACAUGCACAAACACUGACUUGUUACAGUUUCUUUUACUCAGUUUAUCCAUUUCUUCUGGGCAGAUUCUUUUGGUUUCUUGACAAUACUGUGCACUGGUGAAUCUAACUCUGCUGGAAGUGCUUAAGUGGUUUCAAAUAUGUUGGGACCAGACACAUAACUUAAUUGCCAUCCUAAUUUCCAAGGAUCUUGCUUUCAAGGAUACCUGGGAUUUUUGCUCACUUCUGUGGAAUGUGCCCUCACAAUGACCUGUGAUAAAUAGUGCACGAUUUUUAAAAAAUGAUCUAAAAUGUGGGGUGUUUUUAUAACUAUUUCUCAUUUCUUGGCUCAGGAAAUAUUAUUCUUGCCUCCUAUGGUCAUCCUGUUAUUCAUCAGCAGAUGCUACUGAUCCAACAGCUUCCCAGCUAAGAUGGAAGGAUGAGUAAGUGGUUGGAGAAGCCAUAUUUUUGUCUUUUCUACACAAAUUCACAGGGAGGAGUGUUUGCUUUCUCUUCCUCCCUUCAGGUGUGGGCUUCAAUGUUUUGGGGCUGUCUCUGGAGAAGCCUGGGAAGUUAAAAUGCCUUAAAAGCAAGAUGUCCAAAAGCCAUAGGGGAUACAUAUUAUCAACUGCAGGAUGAAAAAUGCUUUUGCAAACCUGCAGCAGUUAAGGAUACAAAAUGAUCUAGGACUUCGAAAUAAUACAGCUAAAUCAACAAGCAAAUGUUAUUCUUAGUGUCUGGCAAUUACAGUAAGGCUUUUUUUUCAUUGUUUAACCACAUUGUUUAAUCAAUUUUCAUUGUUUAAUUGCAUUGUUU
Molecule: long non-coding RNA, 1748 nt
Filed under: Homo sapiens (human)
Lineage: Eukaryota; Metazoa; Chordata; Mammalia; Primates; Hominidae
Description: HSALNT0187177
Source: RNAcentral